Long non-coding RNA from Oncorhynchus keta (chum salmon), 1734 nucleotides. RefSeq lists it as uncharacterized. The record is from RefSeq and is a predicted model, not a curated record. NCBI's taxonomy places the organism in Eukaryota, Metazoa, Chordata, Actinopteri, Salmoniformes, Salmonidae. The transcript is spliced from 3 exons.
CAGACUCAAGCGGAACCUUGCAACCUUACAGUUAACUAGUCCAACGCUCUAACCACCUGCCUCUCAUUGCACUCCACGAGGAGCCUGCCUGUUACGCGAAUGCAGUAGAAGCCAAGGAGCAUCUGAGGGGGAAUGCCGUGAGGAGGAAAUUGCAGACUAAACAUUGGGAGGACUUCAACAACGGUGCACCAGCAUCAAGCUGCACAUGCUAGUCACGGAGUAUAUCCCUGCUACUAUUUUGGACCUGAGCCCUAGGACCAUGCCCCAGGACUACCUGACAUGAUGACUCCUUGCUGUCCCCAGUCCACCUGGCCAUGCUGCUGCUCCAGUUUCAACUGACCUGAGCCCUAGGACCAUGCCCCAGGACUACCUGACAUGAUGACUCCUUGCUGUCCCCAGUCCACCUGGCCAUGCUGCUGCUCCAGUUUCAACUGUUCUGCCUUACUAUUAUUCGACCAUGCUGGUCAUUUAUGAACAUUUGAACAUCUUGGCCAUGUUCUGUUAUAAUCUCCACCCGGCACAGCCAGAAGAGGACGGGCCACCCCACAUAUGCUCUCUAAUUCUCUCUUUCUUUCUCUCUCUCGGAGGACCUGAGCCCUAGGACCGUGCCCCAGGACUACCUGACAUGAUGACUCCUUGCUGUCCCCGGUCCACUUGACUGUGCUGCUGCUCCAGUUUCAACUGUUCUGCCUUGUUAUUAUUCGACCAUGCUGGUCAUUUAUGAACAUUUGAACAUCUUGGCCAUGUUCUGUUAUAAUCUCCACCCGGCACAGCCAGAAGAGGACUGGCCACCCCACAUAGCCUGGUUCCUCUCUAGGUUUCUUCCUAGGUUUUGGCCUUUCUAGGGAGUUUUUCCUAGCCACCGUGCUUCUACACCUGCAUUGCUUGCUGUUUGGGGUUUUAGGCUGGGUUUCUGUACAGCACUUUGAGAUAUCAGCUGAUGUACGAAGGGCUAUAUAAAUAAAUUUGAUUUGAUUUGAUUUGAUUUUAUGUACUCUUGAUAAGUGCGUGAAUAGGGCCAUUUUCCUAUUCCUGCUAAAUAUUUGAAAUGUAAUGUACUUCUGGGUGUCAGGGAAGUGUAUGGGAGUAAAAAUUAGAUAGAUUCUUCAGGAAUGUAGUGGAGUAAAAGUAAAAGUUGUCAAAAAUACAAAGAGUAAAUUAAAGUACAGAUUCCCCCAAAAUCUACUUAAGUAGUGCUUCAAAGUAUUUUUACUUAGUUACUACCACAGUAACUAGCAAAGGGAAGUUAGACUUUUCCACUCAUGGCAAAAGCUUUUUGUUCAAAAUGCAACACAGCCUAUAACAGUGACUGCUAGCAAAUCACCUAAAGACAGUAGUUGCUUUUGUCUUUGCGUCCUGUUUUCUACGGUGUAACACUUGUUCUGCCAAUAUUUGAAGAGCAGGGCCUGUAUUCAUAAAUCCUCUCAGAGUAGUAGUGCAGAUCUACAGUAGUAGUGCAGAUCUAAAAUGUUACACAUUUUGAUUUUGAGGGCAAAACUCCUACAUCAACACUCCUACUCUGAGAUAUUUUGUGAAUAUUAUCAAAUUAUCCUCAUGUGUGAUAAAAGAAGAGGCCUUGAAAGGUUUAAACCUUGAAACAGACGUUGGACAGCGAUGAUGAACCAAUUUUUCCUUUGCAAACACAAAUACCUCUAACCAAAUGUGUGGCAUGUAUAGCACAAGUCAAUCUCAAAACAAAUAGUGCUAUCUGAGAGCUUAUUUGAUUCAUUUAAA